RNAcentral lists this ribosomal RNA (506 nucleotides) under uncultured bacterium. RNAcentral describes it as "bacterial SSU rRNA". It matches the Rfam family "Bacterial small subunit ribosomal RNA", at positions 28 to 525 of the family's 1533-position model. The record is from RNAcentral.
GACGAACGCUGGCGGCGUGGAUUAGGCAUGCAAGUCGAACGGUAUCAUCCUUUCGGGGGUGAGAGAGUGGCGAACUGGUGAGUAACACGUAGGUUAUCUACCCUCAAGACGGGGACAACCCAGGGAAACUUGGGCUAAUACCGGAUGUGAGCAACUUUUAGUUGUUUGAAAGGUGGCGUAAGCUGUCGCUUGGGGAUGAGCCUGCGUCCUAUUAGUUAGUUGGUGAGGUAACGGCUCACCUAGGCAAUGAUAGGUAGGCGGCCUUAACGGGUGGUCGCCCACACUGGGAUUGAGAUACGGCCCAGACUCCUACGGGAGGCAGCAGUCGAGAAUAGUCUACAAUGGUCGGAAGACUGAUAGUGCGACGCCGCGUGAACGAUGAAUCCCUUCGGGGUGUAAAGUUCUUUUAUAUGUGAGCAGUGCUUCUUAUAUUAACAGUAUGGGGAAGAGAUAUUAGCAUAUGAAUAAGCAACGGCUAACUCCGUGCCAGCCAGCCGCGGGUAAAG